Molecule: ribosomal RNA, 1216 nt
Filed under: uncultured Rhizaria
Lineage: Eukaryota
Description: SSU rRNA
Rfam family: Eukaryotic small subunit ribosomal RNA
Source: RNAcentral
CGGUAAUUCCAGCUCCAAUAGCGUAUACUAAAGUUGUUGCAGUUAAAAAGCUCGUAGUUGGAUUUCUGCGGGGACGGAGCGGCCGGACGCAACUUGCGUCUCGAGCUAGCGCUUUCCCCGCAUCCUGCCGCGAACCGUGCUACCAUUAGUUUGGUGGCGCUGGGGAUCGGCUCGAUUACUUUGAGAAAAAUAGAGUGUUCAAAGCAGGCCACACGCCUUGAAUAAGUUAGCAUGGAAUAAUGACUAAGGACUUUGGUUCUUUUCGUUGGUGUUCGGGACUGAAGUAAUGAUUGAUAGGGACAGUUGGGGCGGUCCGUAUUCCAAAGCGAGAGGUGAAAUUCUUGGACCUUCGGAAGACGAACAGCUGCGAAAGCGUUCCGCAAGGAUGUUCCCUUUGAUCAAGAACGAAAGUUGGGGGAUCGAAGACGAUCAGAUACCGUCGUAGUCUCAACUAUAAACUAUACCAGCUAGGGAUCGGCCAACGUUUAAUUAUUCGACUUGGUCGGCACCUUAUGAGAAAUCAAAGCAUCUGGGUUCCGGGGGGAGUAUGGUCGCAAGGCUGAAACUUAAAGGAAUUGACGGAAGGGCACCACCAGGCGUGGAGCCUGUGGCUUAAUUUGACUCAACACGGGAAAACUUACCAGGUCCAGACAUAGGAAGGAUUGACAGAUUGAUAGCUCUUUCUUGAUUCUGUGGGUGGUGGUGCAUGGCCGUUUUUAGUCGGUGAAGUGAUUUGUCUGCUUAAUUGCGUUAACGGACGAGACCCCAGCCUGCUAAAUAGCGCGGCCGAGCUUUGCUCGGUACGAGCUUCUUAGAGGGACCAUGAUGCGCGAUAGCACAAGGAAGUUUGGGGCAACAACAGGUCUGUGAUGCCCUUAGAUGUUCUGGGCCGCACACGGGCUACACUGGCGCCUGCAACGAGCAUAUCAGCUGGCCCGAGAGGGUCUUGGCUAAUCUUUGGAACCGGCGCCGUGCUUGGGAUUGACCAUUGCAAUUGUUGGUCAUGCAACGAGGAAUGCCUUGUAAACGCGAGUCAUCAGCUCGCAUUGAAUACGUCCCUGCCCUUUGUACACACCGCCCGUCGCUCCUACCGAUGAAUGUUCCGAUGAAAUUUUCGGAGAGCGCCGGAGAACGGGGCUCUGCCCUGCAGAACUGGAGGCUCAAAGUCACUUAAAUCUGAACAUUUCGAGGAAGGAGAAGUCGUAACAAGGUAACC